Spinacia oleracea (spinach) is the source of this 495-nucleotide long non-coding RNA. RefSeq lists it as uncharacterized. The record is from RefSeq and is a predicted model, not a curated record. The transcript has 4 exons. Lineage: Eukaryota; Viridiplantae; Streptophyta; Magnoliopsida; Caryophyllales; Amaranthaceae.
CCGAUCUUCACAUUCAACUCCAUGUUUUGGAGAUCUGAAAUGGAAGAGAAGGAAGAAGAGGAACCGAUGUGGAGUAUUUCUCAUGGAUAUAGGAAUUUGUUUAAUUCUUCUAAUCUGAUCUACGAGUACUCUACACAGAAUAAUUCCUUCGAUGUUGGUGUCGGAUUUGACGGCUAGGGUUUUCGAUGAACUUGAUACUACAAUGGCGGCUAGGGUUUUUGAUGAAUCUUCUACUAUAGCUGGUGGUUAAGAAUGGCAUCUGGCAACAAGUAAAGCUGCACGAAUUUUGUAGAUCAAAGAACAUUCAUCUAUCUGUACGUUGGGAACAAGUCACCGAUCCACUUCACCAGGAAGUUUUCUCAAGCACCGGUAUGAUUGAAGGAUGAAAGCUGAUUCGGAAAGAGAAGAUCAUCAUGACGUACUUGUUGGGAAUUUGAGCCUUGAGGUUACAGAUGCUACAUUGUUCGCAUGCUUCUCUCCUUAUCAAACCUGCUC